AUGAGUUCGAUCUCGAGAUGGAUCCUGCAGUAGUCUACAC
This 40-nucleotide non-coding RNA is filed under the name Stygamoeba regulata. Lineage: Eukaryota; Discosea; Stygamoebida. The record is from RNAcentral.